Molecule: ribosomal RNA, 301 nt
Filed under: uncultured bacterium
Lineage: Bacteria
Description: partial 16S ribosomal RNA
Rfam family: Bacterial small subunit ribosomal RNA
Source: RNAcentral
CAGUCGCCGCGGUAAUACGGAGGGGGCUAGCGUUGUUCGGAAUUAUUGGGCGUAAAGGGUGCGUAGGCGGUUUGACAAGUCUUGUGUGAAAUCUCUGGGCUCAACCCAGAGUCUGCACGGGAAACUGUCGGGCUAGAGGAUGGGAGAGGUGAGUGGAAUUUCCGGUGUAGCGGUGAAAUGCGUAGAUAUCGGAAGGAACACCUGUGGCGAAAGCGGCUCACUGGACCAUUUCUGACGCUGAUGCACGAAAGCUAGGGGAGCAAACAGGAUUAGAUACCCCCGUAGUCCCUGUCUCUUAUAA